UAGGGAAUAUUGGUAAUCUGGGAAACCGGGAACCAGCAACGCCGCGUGUGAGAUGAAGGCCUUCGGGUUGUAAAGCACUUUUUGAGGGGAUGAGGAAGGACAGUAUCCUCUGAAUAAGCCUCGGCGAACUACGUGCCAGCAGCCGCGGUAAAACGUAGGAGGCUAGCGUUAUCCGGAUUUAUUGGGCGUAAAGCGCGUGCAGGCGGUCUAGUUAGUUGGAUGUGAAAGCUCCUGGCUUAACUGGGAGAGGUCGUUCAAUACUGCUAGACUAGAGAAUGGGAGAGGGAGGUGGAAUUCCGGGUGUAGUGGUGAAAUGCGUAGAUAUCCGGAGGAACACCAGUGGCGAAAGCGGCCUCCUAGACCACUUCUGACGCUAAGACGCGAAAGCUAGGGUAGCAAACG
This 402-nucleotide ribosomal RNA is filed under the name uncultured prokaryote. RNAcentral describes it as "bacterial SSU rRNA". It matches the Rfam family "Bacterial small subunit ribosomal RNA", at positions 355 to 774 of the family's 1533-position model. The record is from RNAcentral.